CUUAAACAGAGCUGUGAACUCAGUCUAAGGAAGCAGACCCAGGAAAGGGGAGCGAGAGAAGGUUCCCUGUCUGGGAGGGGCCUGGGGAAGUCCAGCUGAAGAGACCCAAAGGGGGCAGAAGGGGACUGAACUUUCCAGUGACCUGGCUGGAGGCCAGAAGACUCGGACAGAACCAGGCCAUUGAAGAGCCACGAAGUAUCCACUGGGGGAGCUAGAGGUGAAGUCCCCUGCAACAUUGCACCCUCCCAGAAGGGGGUGCUAUCAUGAAACAAGAGAAUAGAACAGUGAGCAGUUUGCCAGGCAUUGGCCUGGGGCAGGAAACACAGGAAGAAAUGUGCAGGUCCUCCAAAUUCAGGAACUUGAAAGUUUUCCACAGAGCUCUGUGGAAAACUCAUCUUCCA
Molecule: long non-coding RNA, 401 nt
Organism: Dermochelys coriacea (leatherback sea turtle)
Lineage: Eukaryota; Metazoa; Chordata; Testudines; Dermochelyidae
Exons: 3
Source: RefSeq, a predicted model, not a curated record